Molecule: ribosomal RNA, 440 nt
Filed under: uncultured bacterium
Lineage: Bacteria
Description: bacterial SSU rRNA
Rfam family: Bacterial small subunit ribosomal RNA
Source: RNAcentral
CCUACGGGCGGCUGCAGUAAGGAAUAUUCCGCAAUGCGCGAAAGCGUGACGGAGCAAUGCCGCGUGCAGGAUGAAGCAGCUUCGCUGUGUAAACUGCUGUCAGGGGCUACUAACUAUGAAGAGCCUCAGAGGAAGGACCGGCUAAACUCGUGCCAGCAGCCGCGGUAAUACGAGUGGUCCAAGCGUUAGUCGGAAUCACUGGGCUUAAAGGGUGCGUAGGCGGGCCAGAAAGCGUCUUGUGAAAUCCCCCGGCUCAACCGGGGAACAGCAGGGCGAACUACUGGUCUUGAGGAAGGUAGAGGCCGGCAGAACGAUCGGUGGAGCGGUGGAAUGCGUAGAGAUCGAUCGGAAUGCCAAAGGUGAAGACAGCCGGCUGGGCCUUUCCUGACGCUGAGGCACGAAAGCGUGGGGAGCAAACAGGAUUAGAUACCCUAGUAGUC